GAAAAUUUAGUUAAACCCCCUAUAACAUUAGUUUGUCAAACUAAAAUUAUAAUAUUUAUAGUUUUCA
RNAcentral lists this transfer RNA (67 nucleotides) under Laemophloeidae sp. KM-2017. RNAcentral describes it as "tRNA-Asp". The record is from RNAcentral. Lineage: Eukaryota; Metazoa; Arthropoda; Insecta; Coleoptera; Laemophloeidae.